GGGAGAGAUGGCUGAGUGGUUGAUAGCCCCGGCUUGAAAACCGGUAUAGUUCUUAAAACUACCGAGGGUUCGAAUCCCCUAUCUA
RNAcentral lists this transfer RNA (85 nucleotides) under Bulbophyllum rupicola. Its description in RNAcentral is "partial tRNA-Ser". The record is from RNAcentral. Lineage: Eukaryota; Viridiplantae; Streptophyta; Magnoliopsida; Asparagales; Orchidaceae.